AUGGCCAUUUCUCCAGAAGUCGCACUGUGAUAUGGAUUUCCCUUAGGUACCUUAGCAGCAUCCUCAGGAUUGCUCUUCACAGGCGCAUAAGCAAGCCACGUAUUCAUCACCGUAAAUCCAACCCUUGCNNNGUUUUUGGAUAAUCUUGCAUCAUACAUUCGAGUCGAGUUGAAGAUUGAAAUGAAGUUUUGCUGGCAUCUUUGUAUUUUGGGUUAACAAACUCCUUAAUACAACCUCCUGUUUUCUUGAGCUCCUCAAUAUAAGGACCAAGUUCCAAAAUCAAUUGGUUUAUAUUUCCUGGGAAAGGAGAAUAGCCUGUCUCAGAGUUAACAUCUCCAUCAGGAUGACCAGUCGCUCUAAGCAGAGGAUCAAGCUGAUUGUAUUCAACGUUAAUCACCAUUGACCGACCAUCAGCAUGAGUAAGCCUGGUAAUUCCUCCAAUUGC
This 445-nucleotide unclassified non-coding RNA is filed under the name Hevea brasiliensis (rubber tree). The record is from RNAcentral. Lineage: Eukaryota; Viridiplantae; Streptophyta; Magnoliopsida; Malpighiales; Euphorbiaceae.